UAACAAGGAUUCCCCUAGUAACGGCGAGCGAAGCGGGAAGAGCUCAAAUUUGAAAGCUGGCGCCUUCGGCGUCCGCGUUGUAAUCUCGAGACGUGUUUUCCGUGCGGCGCUAUGGACAAGUCCCUUGGAACAGGGCAUCGUAGAGGGUGAAAAUCCUGUACUUGCCAUGGAUGUACCGUGCUUUGUGAUACACGCUCUAAGAGUCGAGUUGUUUGGGAUUGCAGCUCAAAAUGGGUGGUAGACUCCAUCUAACGCUAAAUAUCGGGGAGAGACCGAUAGCGAACAAGUACCGUGAGGGAAAGAUGAAAAGCACUUUGGAAAGAGAGUUAAAAGUACGUGAAAUUGUCGAAAGGGAAGCGCUUGAAGUCAGCCAUGCUGCGCGGACUCAGCCCGGCUGAUGCCUGGUGUAUUUCCCAGCAGCAAGCCAGCAUGGAUUUGGGUCGCCGGAGAAGGGCACGAGGAAUGUGGCACUUCGUGUGUGUUAAGCCUCGUGCUGGAUACGGCGAGCUGGAUCCAGGAACGCAGUGUGCCUCUGGCGGGUCUUCGGACACCUUCACACUUAGGAUGCUGGCGUAAU
Molecule: ribosomal RNA, 577 nt
Filed under: Malassezia nana
Lineage: Eukaryota; Fungi; Basidiomycota; Malasseziomycetes; Malasseziales; Malasseziaceae
Description: eukaryotic LSU rRNA
Rfam family: Eukaryotic large subunit ribosomal RNA
Source: RNAcentral